The sequence is a ribosomal RNA, 437 nucleotides long. It matches the Rfam family "Bacterial small subunit ribosomal RNA", at positions 341 to 792 of the family's 1533-position model.
ACGGAAGGCAGCAGUGGGGAAUAUUGGGCAAUGGGCGAAAGCCUGACCCAGCAACGCCGCGUGAAGGAAGAAGGUCUUCGGAUUGUAAACUUCUUUUAUGAGGGACGAAGGACGUGACGGUACCUCAUGAAUAAGCCACGGCUAACUACGUGCCAGCAGCCGCGGUAAUACGUAGGUGGCAAGCGUUAUCCGGAUUUACUGGGUGUAAAGGGCGCGUAGGCGGGGAUGCAAGUCAGAUGUGAAAUCUAUGGGCUUAACUCAUAAACUGCAUUUGAAACUGUAUUUCUUGAGUGCUGGAGAGGUAGAUGGAAUUCCUUGUGUAGCGGUGAAAUGCGUAGAUAUCAGGAAGAACACCGGUGGCGAAGGCGGCCUGCUGGACGGUAACUGACGUUGAGGCUCGAAAGCGUGGGGAGCAAACAGGAUUAGAUACCCUGGUA